RNAcentral lists this ribosomal RNA (486 nucleotides) under uncultured bacterium. Its description in RNAcentral is "partial 16S ribosomal RNA". It matches the Rfam family "Bacterial small subunit ribosomal RNA", at positions 30 to 507 of the family's 1533-position model. The record is from RNAcentral.
AUUGAACGCUGGCGGCAUGCCUUACACAUGCAAGUCGAACGGCAGCACGGGUGCUUGCACCUGGUGGCGAGUGGCGAACGGGUGAGUAAUACAUCGGAACAUGUCCUGUAGUGGGGGAUAGCCCGGCGAAAGCCGGAUUAAUACCGCAUACGAUCUACGGAUGAAAGCGGGGGACCUUCGGGCCUCGCGCUAUAGGGUUGGCCGAUAGCUGAUUAGCUAGUUGGUGGGGUAAAGGCCUACCAAGGCGACGAUCAGUAGCUGGUCUGAGAGGACGACCAGCCACACUGGGACUGAGACACGGCCCAGACUCCUACGGGAGGCAGCAGUGGGGAAUUUUGGACAAUGGGCGAAAGCCUGAUCCAGCAAUGCCGCGUGUGUGAAGAAGGCCUUCGGGUUGUAUAGCACUUUUGUCCGGAAAGAAAUCCUUGGCUCUAAUACAGUCGGGGGAUGACGGUACCGGAAGAAUAAGCACCGGCUAACUACGUG